RNAcentral lists this ribosomal RNA (646 nucleotides) under Hyphodermella rosae. RNAcentral describes it as "eukaryotic LSU rRNA". The stretch from base 241 to 394 matches the Rfam family "5.8S ribosomal RNA". The record is from RNAcentral. Lineage: Eukaryota; Fungi; Basidiomycota; Agaricomycetes; Polyporales; Phanerochaetaceae.
GGAAGUAAAAGUCGUAACAAGGUUUCCGUAGGUGAACCUGCGGAAGGAUCAUUAACGAGUUUUGAAAGGGGUUGUCGCUGGCCUUUCACGAGGCAUGUGCACACCCUGCUCAUCCACUCUCAACCUCUGUGCACUUAUUGUAGGUCGGUGGAAGGCUCGCAAGAGCUGGAAGCCUGCUUAUGUUUUACUACAAACGCUUCAGUUAUAGAAUGUUUACUUGCGUAUAACGCAUUUAUAUACAACUUUCAGCAACGGAUCUCUUGGCUCUCGCAUCGAUGAAGAACGCAGCGAAAUGCGAUAAGUAAUGUGAAUUGCAGAAUUCAGUGAAUCAUCGAAUCUUUGAACGCACCUUGCGCUCCCUGGUAUUCCGGGGAGCACGCCCGUUUGAGUGUCAUGGUAUUCUCAACCUUCCUCACUUUUGUGACUGGAAGGCUUGGAUGUGGAGGUCGUGCGGGCUCUCGCGAGUCGGCUCCUCUGAAAUGCAUUAGCGUGAACGUUUACGGAUCGCUAUCAGUGUGAUAAUUAUCUGCGCUGUUAGUGUUGAAGUAUUGCUUAGUGUCGCGCUUCUAACCGUCCUUCAGUUGGACAACUUAUCUGACAUCUGGCCUCAAAUCGGGCGGGACUACCCGCUGAACUUAAGCAUAUC